Molecule: ribosomal RNA, 448 nt
Filed under: uncultured bacterium
Lineage: Bacteria
Description: bacterial SSU rRNA
Rfam family: Bacterial small subunit ribosomal RNA
Source: RNAcentral
UGGGGAAUCUUGGACAAUGGGCGCAAGCCUGAUCCAGCCAUGCCGCGUGGAUGAUGAAGGCCUUAGGGUUGUAAAAUCCUUUUCGCCGAGGACGAUAAUGACGGUACUCGGAGAAGAAGCUCCGGCUAACUUCGUGCCAGCAGCCGCGGUAAUACGAAGGGGGCUAGCGUUGUUCGGAUUUACUGGGCGUAAAGCGCGUGUAGGCGGGUCGUUAAGUUGGGGGUGAAAUCCCGAGGCUCAACCUCGGAACUGCCUUCAAAACUGGCGACCUGGACCUAAGUAGAGGCAAGUGGAAUUGCGAGUGUAGAGGUGAAAUUCGUAGAUAUUCGCAGGAACACCAGUGGCGAAGGCGACUUGCUGGACUUAUGGUGACGCUGAGACGCGAAAGCGUGGGGAGCAAACAGGAUUAGAUACCCGGGUAGUCCCUGAGCGGGCUGGCAAGGCGCAU